CCAGACUCCUACGGGAGGCAGCAGUGGGGAAUAUUGCACAAUGGGGGAAACCCUGAUGCAGCGACGCCGCGUGAGUGAAGAAGUAUUUCGGUAUGUAAAGCUCUAUCAGCAGGGAAGAAAAUGACGGUACCUGAUUAAGAAGCCCCGGCUAACUACGUGCCAGCAGCCGCGGUAAUACGUAGGGGGCAAGCGUUAUCCGGAUUUAUUGGGUUUAAAGGGUGCGUAGGCGGAAGGUUAAGUCAGCGGUCAAAUGUCGGUGCUCAACACCGGCCUGCCGUUGAAACUGGUCUUCUUGAGUGAGCGAGAAGUAUGCGGAAUGCGUGGUGUAGCGGUGAAAUGCAUAGAUAUCACGCAGAACCCCGAUUGCGAAGGCAGCCUUCCGGCGCCCUACUGACGCUGAGGCACGAAAGUGCGGGGAUCGAACAGGAUUAGAUACCCCUGUAA
RNAcentral lists this ribosomal RNA (444 nucleotides) under uncultured bacterium. RNAcentral's name for it is "bacterial SSU rRNA". It matches the Rfam family "Bacterial small subunit ribosomal RNA", at positions 331 to 793 of the family's 1533-position model. The record is from RNAcentral.